UCCGAGUUGACCCCGGCAGUCUCCUACGAGUCCCCGGCAUUACCCGCUGGCAACAUGGAACAGGGGUUGCGCUCGUUGCGCCACUUAAGGCAACACCUCACGGCACGAGCUGACGACAGCCGUGCAGCACCUGUGCGGGCUCCCGAAGGAGCACCGUGUUUCCACGGUUUCACCCCGCAUGUCAAGCCCUGGUAAGGUUCUUCGCGUUGCGUCGAAUUAAGCCACAUGCUCCGCCGCUUGUGCGGGCCCCCGUCAAUUCCUUUGAGUUUUAAUCUUGCGACCGUACUCCCCAGGCGGAAUGCUUAAAGCGUUAGCCGCGCCACUGACGAGCAAGCUCGCCAACGGCUGGCAUUCAUCGUUUACGGCGUGGACUAC
This 375-nucleotide unclassified non-coding RNA is filed under the name uncultured bacterium. Its description in RNAcentral is "contains 16S-23S intergenic spacer region". The record is from RNAcentral.